RNAcentral lists this ribosomal RNA (466 nucleotides) under uncultured bacterium. RNAcentral's name for it is "bacterial SSU rRNA". It matches the Rfam family "Bacterial small subunit ribosomal RNA", at positions 334 to 793 of the family's 1533-position model. The record is from RNAcentral.
GCCUCCUACGGGAGGCAGCAGUGGGGAAUAUUGCACAAUGGGCGCAAGCCUGAUGCAGCCAUGCCGCGUGUAUGAAGAAGGCCUUCGGGUUGUAAAGUACUUUCAGCAGUGAGGAAGGUGGGUAUGUUAAUAGCAUACUCAUUUGACGUUAGCUGCAGAAGAAGCACCGGCUAACUCCGUGCCAGCAGCCGCGGUAAUACGGAGGGUGCGAGCGUUAAUCGGAAUUACUGGGCGUAAAGCGCAUGCAGGUGGUUUGUUAAGUCAGAUGUGAAAGCCCGGGGCUCAACCUCGGAAUUGCAUUUGAAACUGGCAAACUAGAGUACUGUAGAGGGGGUAGAAUUUCAGGUGUAGCGGUGAAAUGCGUAGAGAUCUGAAGGAAUACCGGUGGCGAAGGCGGCCCCCUGGACAGAUACUGACACUCAGAUGCGAAAGCGUGGGGAGCAAACAGGAUUAGAUACCCUGGUAG